AGCGAACGCUGGCGGCAGGCUUAACACAUGCAAGUCGAACGGGCAUCUUCGGAUGCUAGUGGCAGACGGGUGAGUAACACGUGGGAACGUACCUUUCGGUUCGGAAUAAUACAGGGAAACUUGUACUAAUACCGGGAUACGCCCUUCGGGGGAAAGAUUUAUCGCCGAUAGAUCGGCCCGCGUCUGAUUAGCUAGUUGGUGAGGUAAUGGCUCACCAAGGCGACGAUCAGUAGCUGGUCUGAGAGGAUGAUCAGCCACACUGGGACUGAGACACGGCCCAGACUCCUACGGGUGGCAG
Molecule: ribosomal RNA, 298 nt
Filed under: uncultured Pseudomonadota bacterium
Lineage: Bacteria; Pseudomonadati; Pseudomonadota
Description: uncultured proteobacterium partial 16S ribosomal RNA
Rfam family: Bacterial small subunit ribosomal RNA
Source: RNAcentral